CACGUAGGGGACGAGCGUUGUCCGGAAUUACUGGGCGUAAAGAGCUCGUAGGUGGUUUGUCGCGUUGUUCGUGAAAACUCACAGCUCAACUGUGGGCGUGCGGGCGAUACGGGCAGACUGGAGUACUGCAGGGGAGACUGGAAUUCCUGGUGUAGCGGUGGAAUGCGCAGAUAUCAGGAGGAACACCGGUGGCGAAGGCGGGUCUCUGGGCAGUAACUGACGCUGAGGAGCGAAAGCGUGGGGAGCGAACAGG
RNAcentral lists this ribosomal RNA (253 nucleotides) under uncultured bacterium. Its description in RNAcentral is "partial 16S ribosomal RNA". It matches the Rfam family "Bacterial small subunit ribosomal RNA", at positions 524 to 776 of the family's 1533-position model. The record is from RNAcentral.